CCUACGGGAGGCAGCAGCAGGGAAUCUUGCGCAAUGGGCGAAAGCCUGACGCAGCAACGCCGCGUGGGGGAUGAAGGCCUUCGGGUUGUAAACCCCUUUCAGGAGGGAAGAAAUUGACGGUACCUCCAGAAGGAGGACCGGCCAACUACGUGCCAGCAGCCGCGGUA
Molecule: ribosomal RNA, 167 nt
Filed under: uncultured Actinomyces sp.
Lineage: Bacteria; Bacillati; Actinomycetota; Actinomycetes; Actinomycetales; Actinomycetaceae
Description: partial 16S ribosomal RNA
Rfam family: Bacterial small subunit ribosomal RNA
Source: RNAcentral